RNAcentral lists this ribosomal RNA (335 nucleotides) under uncultured Prevotella sp. RNAcentral describes it as "bacterial SSU rRNA". It matches the Rfam family "Bacterial small subunit ribosomal RNA", at positions 8 to 339 of the family's 1533-position model. Lineage: Bacteria; Pseudomonadati; Bacteroidota; Bacteroidia; Bacteroidales; Prevotellaceae. The record is from RNAcentral.
AGAGUUUGAUCUGGUCAGGAUGAACGCUAGCUACAGGCUUAACACAUGCAAGUCGAGGGGUAACAUUGGCGAGCUUGCUCUGCCAGAUGACGACCGGCGCACGGGUGAGUAACGCGUAUCCAACCUGCCCAUGGGUCAGGAUAACUCCGAAAGGGAGCCUAAUACCUGAUGUUGUGAGAAGAAGGCCUCUGAUUUUCACGAAAGACUUCGGUCGCCGAUGGAUGGGGAUGCGUACGAUUAGGCAGCAGGCGGGGUAACGGCCCACCUGGCCACGAUCGUUAGGGGUUCUGAGAGGAAGGUCCCCCACACUGGUACUGAGACACGGACCAGACUCC